This 89-nucleotide transfer RNA is filed under the name Candidatus Improbicoccus pseudotrichonymphae. Its description in RNAcentral is "tRNA-Ser". It matches the Rfam family "tRNA". From Rfam's summary of the family: Transfer RNA (tRNA) molecules are approximately 80 nucleotides in length. Their secondary structure includes four short double-helical elements and three loops (D, anti-codon, and T loops). The record is from RNAcentral. Lineage: Bacteria; Bacillati; Bacillota; Clostridia.
GGAGAGGUGUCCGAGUGGUUUAAGGAGCACGAUUGGAAAUCGUGUAAGUCAAAAAAACUUCUGGGGUUCGAAUCCCCAUCUCUCCACCA